GGCCGAGUGGCGGAACUGGCAGACGCACGGGACUUAAAAUCCUGUAUCCGGAAACGGGUGUGUGGGUUCGAAUCCCACCUCGGCCA
RNAcentral lists this transfer RNA (86 nucleotides) under Planctomycetaceae bacterium. RNAcentral's name for it is "tRNA-Leu". It matches the Rfam family "tRNA". From Rfam's summary of the family: Transfer RNA (tRNA) molecules are approximately 80 nucleotides in length. Their secondary structure includes four short double-helical elements and three loops (D, anti-codon, and T loops). Further hydrogen bonds mediate the characteristic L-shaped molecular structure. tRNAs have two regions of fundamental functional importance: the anti-codon, which is responsible for specific mRNA codon recognition, and the 3' end, to which the tRNAs corresponding amino acid is attached (by aminoacyl-tRNA synthetases). tRNAs cope with the degeneracy of the genetic code in two manners: having more than one tRNA (with a specific anti-codon) for a particular amino acid; and 'wobble' base-pairing, i.e. permitting non-standard base-pairing at the 3rd anti-codon position. The record is from RNAcentral. Lineage: Bacteria; Pseudomonadati; Planctomycetota; Planctomycetia; Planctomycetales; Planctomycetaceae.